UUUACCUUUCAGAAUUUACACAAAUUUUCAGUCUGAUACCUAAAAUCAUAAUGAAUGUAGCACAUGAAAAUGUAGACACUAUUUCUAAAUAAAAUAAAAUAGACAGGUUUUAACACUAUAUUUCCACACAUUUGCAUGUAGCACACAGAACUCGCGUCGGAUGUCUAACCUCUUCAAAUCAACAGUCAGGCAAGUCGUCCAACGCCUCACAUUAUGCUGGAGAGCAGCAGCUUGUUGUGAUUUCAGGGCUCGUAAUAACGAAGGCCUCAGUUGUCUUCGAGUGGGCUUUACUUCUGUUCAUUAACACCGACGUGAACUCUGUUGUGUAAGCAAAGACAAAACGAUGCCCGACCAUCCACGACACGAUCCACUCCUACAAAGAAGAAGGUCAUCCUAGGCAGGGGGAUAAAAUAUAGAACGUGCCACGCAAAACCACAAUGUGGUAGUUUAAUUAAAAGAAUUCAUUACAGUGGGAGCCCAAGGUAAUUAGCAUGCAUAAUUUAUGAUUUGCUUAAUGCACGUCGGCCGAGGCGUCGGUAAUAAACUCGACUUAACCUCCAGCGGAGAGAGAUGAAAUGGACAGGGGACGACUGUUUAUUGUCGAGCAAUAAGUCAAAUACGUUUGAUAGAACUUUGGUUGAUUCUUGGCUUUUGCUGAACUCGAAAGACUUCAUUUGUUUUGCAGGAUGAGACUCAGUCAGCAAAGGUGGCACUGCAGAGGACAAAUAAAUCACUGGAGCAAAGUGGGAGAGAAACAGAGAGAGAGGGCUCUGUUGUUUUGUCGCCCGGGUCACCAAAGUCAAACAAAGUCACCUCUCUUGGCCCCUCCGAUGACUUCCGCAAACAAAACCAAUAGUUGCAUCAUGGGGCAAGUGGAUGUCUAGAAAUGGGAAGAAAGUGGCAGGCAAACCUGAAAGUUCACCCUGGGAAGUUUCACUCCAUCCUCUGCCCCAUUAAAACUCAUCACAACCGGGAUGGCGACCGACCGAAGAAGGGCUCUCGAGCAACACCGUGUCCCAGUGAGGGGGGCCGCUCACUCUUUUGAGCUCUUCUCUGGCGGGGCUGUAAAGCGCUGGCCUCUCAGGCCACAAAUCAGCUCCUGAAAGCAGGCAUGCAUCUUCAAAGGGUGGGCUGCCCCUCUGUGAUAUACGGCCCCCGCCGAGAACAAGUUAGCCACGGCCAGUGUCUUUGCACCUGGGCUAUUAUCAGGCGACCGGGAUCAUCUCCUCUCACCACACAUUCAAAUGUACAAGUAGCAGAUUAGGCUGACUCAAUCUUCUUUCCCUCUGAAGGAUAGGGUGAGGGAAAAGAGAGGGAAAGCCAAAAGAAAGGAACCUCCUCGGACUUCAAAAAGAGCUCUCCGCUUCUGUCCUUCUGAGAGAGUGAAAGGCCCGGGAGAUGAGAACGGAGGGGGGCUUGUGUAUUCAGAGAACUAAUUCAGAACUGAUUCCUCUAAUACACUCCUGAAACACUUUUAAUUGUGUUAGUUUGCAUUCAAAAGGCACGUUUGCAGCUUUUAAUUGGCGAGCUCUUUGAAAUAAUUGAAAUGUGUGACUUUGUGGGGGACAACUUAAACAGUUCUAAUGUGCUUUGCUGGUAGGUGCUGGAUGCCCAUUAUUCCCUCAUUCUAACGCUGUGGCGAUUUGAAGGGGUCUUGAGCUGUUCUCUAAAUAAAACGGCUAUCGAGGUUUGGCACACAUUGUACCUAGUAAUUGCCGUUAGCAAUUAGCUUUAAACAAAGCUCCCAUUGUGGCAAAGUGUUAAUGACCUUUGAACAAAACUAUAACUGUAAAUUAAACUAUGUUGAUGUUUUUUCUUAAAGGGGAAGCAUGUCAUUUAUUUUUAUUUUUUAAAAAUAGUAACUUCUAUCCCAGCUUAAUGAAAAAACAACUAAAAGUAAAACAUGUAUAGUUUAAUGCUCCCAAAAAGUUAAAUAAUCUGACAAAAUCAGCACUGGCACAACCAAUGGUGUGAGUUUGGGGGCGGGACUAUCUGUAUUUCUGAAUAACGAAAGACAGAUGAAAACCUAUUUGAAAACAGUCACGUUUGGUGAUGCUAAUUAUGUACUGUACCUUUAAACAGAGCUCUGAUUGUAUUAAAAAAAAAAGACCAAAUAUAUAACAAUAAAAAACAGUGUUGACAUUUUUUUAAAGGGAAAGGUGUCAUUUUUUAUGUUAAUAAUAUCAAAUUAUAACUAAAUUAAAACAUUUCUAGGUUUAUUUUCCCCAAAACUUUAAAUAACCUGACACAAUAUCAUAAUAUUGUACAGACUAAGCAACGUUAGCCAGUGGAAUGAGUUUGGG
This is a long non-coding RNA of Cyprinus carpio carpio, 2303 nucleotides long. The record is from Ensembl. NCBI's taxonomy places the organism in Eukaryota, Metazoa, Chordata, Actinopteri, Cypriniformes, Cyprinidae.